AGCUCCAAUAGCGUAUAUUAAAGCUGUUGCGGUUCAAAAGCUCGUAGUUGGGUUUCUGUCAAGGACAACUGGUCCGCCCUCCGGGUGAGCACAUAGUUUGGUCUUGGCAUCUUGUUCAAAACUGUUACUGCGCUUGGUUGCGUGGCGCAGUUUUGCGCACUUUCACUUUGAGGAAUUUGGAGUGUUUCAAGCAGGCACAUGCCUUUGGACACAGUAGCAUGGAAUAAUAAGCUUGGGCUUUUGCUCCAACUUGUCGGUUCGUGGAGCUGAGGUGAGAAUCAAUGGGGAUUGUUGGGGGCAUCUGAAUUUAGCCGUCAGAGGUGAAAUUCUUGGAUCUGCCAAAGACGGACAACUGCGAAAGCGUUUGCCCAGGAUGUUUUCA
Molecule: ribosomal RNA, 382 nt
Filed under: uncultured eukaryote
Lineage: Eukaryota
Description: SSU rRNA
Rfam family: Eukaryotic small subunit ribosomal RNA
Source: RNAcentral